Gossypium raimondii (Peruvian cotton) is the source of this 635-nucleotide long non-coding RNA. RefSeq lists it as uncharacterized. NCBI's taxonomy places the organism in Eukaryota, Viridiplantae, Streptophyta, Magnoliopsida, Malvales, Malvaceae. The transcript is spliced from 2 exons. The record is from RefSeq and is a predicted model, not a curated record.
AGAACAUCUCCCUGUGUUUUGCUGGAAUGUUGCAGAACAUUUAGCUAAAAGAGCGGCUUAACAAAAUUUUUAGAAUCUAUCAUAUCUUGUAAUAGUGAAAAACUUGAAGAUGGAAUGACUAAUCAAUCACCGAGGUUUCGCUGGUAGAGGAACUGUUAUGGUGUCGCUUCCUAACAUUGCAACCACUGUUGACAUAGUCGGUCUGUCUGCCGGAUCUGAUUGCACGCACAAUAACCCAAUUUGGAUGCAUUUAAGCACCUCUGUUGAGGUUAGUUCCCAUGCCAGGUGCUGAUCAACAAAGGUGGCCAUGCAAGAGGAAAGUCAGCAUGCAGUCGAGCCAUGGUGUGCAGCAGCUGAAGCUCAAAGUUCUGAUCUAGUUGCCACAUUUAGUUGUUCCUUAAUCCUUUUGUAAUCUACUUCAUUUUGAACUUAGUAGGUAGAUGUUUUGAUGUUGAUUGACUAAAAAUCAGUAAAGCUAUUAUGCAAGCUAAUCUUGUAAGUUUCAAUGCAUAUUAGUGGUGUUCGGUAGUUGAUUAGGUGAUAACUUGUUUGUUUUACAAGUUAGCUGGUAUAUGUAAUGGCUUAAGGCCUUAUUCUCAAGUUAAUGAAAAAUUUCAGGUUGUUUUUCAUUCAAA